RNAcentral lists this ribosomal RNA (253 nucleotides) under uncultured bacterium. RNAcentral's name for it is "partial 16S ribosomal RNA". It matches the Rfam family "Bacterial small subunit ribosomal RNA", at positions 524 to 776 of the family's 1533-position model. The record is from RNAcentral.
UACGUAGGGUGCAAGCGUUGUCCGGAAUUAUUGGGCGUAAAGGGCUCGUAGGCGGUCCAUCACGUCGGGAGUGAAAAGCUGGGGCUUAACCCCAGUCCUGCUUCCGAUACGGGUGGACUAGAGGUAGGUAGGGGAGAACGGAAUUCCUGGUGUAGCGGUGAAAUGCGCAGAUAUCAGGAGGAACACCGGUGGCGAAGGCGGGACUCUGGGCCGAUACUGACGCUGAGGAGCGAAAGCGUGGGGAGCAAACAGG